This 328-nucleotide ribosomal RNA is filed under the name uncultured eukaryote. Its description in RNAcentral is "partial 18S ribosomal RNA". It matches the Rfam family "Eukaryotic small subunit ribosomal RNA", at positions 1470 to 1796 of the family's 1831-position model. The record is from RNAcentral.
CCCUUAGAUGUCCUGGGCCGCACGCGCGCUACACUGAUGCAUGCAACGAGUUUAUAACCUUGGCCUGAAAGGUCUGGGUAAUCUUUUGAACGUGCAUCGUGAUAGGGAUAGAUUAUUGCAAUUGUUAAUCUUGAACGAGGAAUUCCUAGUAAACGCGAGUCAUCAGCUCGCAUUGAUUACGUCCCUGCCCUUUGUACACACCGCCCGUCGCACCUACCGAUUGAAUGGUUCGGUGAAGAUCUCGGACUUCGGUAUUUAUUCUUUAUUGAGUUUAUAUUGUGGGAAGUUAUCUAAACCUCAUCAUUUAGAGGAAGGUGAAGUCGUAACA